This 253-nucleotide ribosomal RNA is filed under the name uncultured bacterium. Its description in RNAcentral is "partial 16S ribosomal RNA". It matches the Rfam family "Bacterial small subunit ribosomal RNA", at positions 524 to 776 of the family's 1533-position model. The record is from RNAcentral.
UACGAAGGGGGCUAGCGUUGCUCGGAAUCACUGGGCGUAAAGCGCACGUAGGCGACUUUCUAAGUCAGGGGUGAAAUCCUGGAGCUCAACUCCAGAACUGCCUUUGAUACUGGGGAGCUCGAGUCCGGAAGAGGUGAGUGGAACUCCGAGUGUAGAGGUGAAAUUCGUAGAUAUUCGGAAGAACACCAGUGGCGAAGGCGGCUCACUGGUCCGGUACUGACGCUGAGGUGCGAAAGCGUGGGGAGCAAACAGG